Long non-coding RNA from Zalophus californianus (California sea lion), 2213 nucleotides. RefSeq lists it as uncharacterized. The record is from RefSeq and is a predicted model, not a curated record. NCBI's taxonomy places the organism in Eukaryota, Metazoa, Chordata, Mammalia, Carnivora, Otariidae. The transcript has 3 exons.
GCUCGGGAGGCCGAUCGGAACCGGACUCCAGCCCGGCCGGCGGCGCGUCCGGGGAGUCCCGGGUGAAGGAGGACUGCGCCGGGCACAGUGAGCAGCUCUGGUGGUCCCCACGCUCAUCCUGGAGCAGCCCCGGGAGAGCGUGGAUGCGAAGGUGCCGGACGUCCAGCCCUGGUCCCCGCAGCAGGUUCGGCGAGCUGGGCACCGCUGCCGUGGGCAGGACUUGUUAUUGAACAAAUGGAUAAAGCCAUUCAUCGACCAGAACUGACAAGGUUCCUCGUCCAGGCACUGUGCCUGGUUCCGAGUGCAGGCGUGAGCCAACUUGGACCCUGUCCACGGAACCCAUGGUCCAAGGCAGCCAGGUGCACAGUGGCUCCCCAGGAGGUCCUCCGGCUCCUUCCGAUUCUGGAGCCCCCAUGCGAUGAGCCAGACCCCUAGGUCUGGAGCCUAGAGCCCGCUCAGUCGAGGGGGAGGAGGCCACAUCCAAAGCCCCCGGAUGCACCUGUUCCAGAAAACAGAGCCUGAGGGAGCUGUGACCUCAAGAGGCGGUUUUGCUGGGCUGCCGGGGAAAUGCCACUUGAAGAACCAGUAUGGAAGGAGAUGGUCUGGGAAGGGAGGAGAACCUCCACUCACAAAGGGAGAUUUCCGGGGGCUGCCCUGAAGUGGGAGGGACUCAGAACUGGGAGGAAGAGACCCUCCUGCCCUCAAAUCCCGGUCAGAACGGAGAGGACCAACACUGGAGACCGUCUCCUCUCCUGGUCCAGGGGAGGUGAAUUAUAAAGAUUAACAGUGGUGUAAUACCUAUGUAUUUUAAAAAUAUGAUCUACAUAAAGAUGUGUAGUACACAACUCAGAAAUCAUGCACAGUACUCUUUACCAUCAAUCCCAUACAAUCAUCCUCAGAGAAGGCUCUUGUGGAUUUUUGCUGAAAUCCUGUAUGCACAGCCAGCCUCUGGCUGCGAUUCACAAGUGUGGUUCUGACGUGAAUGUGGGCUAAUAUUUUCAGGUAUUUAAUAAGCAAGAUGAGAGCGACGCCAGAAAGACCUGUGCAGGGGCGUCGCUUGCCCAGCCGUGACAUGAGCGAGCUCCUUGCUGGACUGGACGGACGGUGGUCCUGAGUCCUGAAAGUCCUGAAAAUUCCCUCCCUGUGUUUGUGCUGGUCACGUGGCGAUGACUGCAGAGCGCACUCCAAGCCAACGUGCACCGUCAUCCGUGUCACUGUUCCACGUGCCAGGCUCCGCGGUGUCCAGACUCCCGCCGGGGCCGAAAGUGACAGGACUGGACCAGCAGGUGGGGAGAGACAAGCGGUCCAGGGAUAAAGAGCCUCAGGGGCUCUGAUAAGCGUAAAAUGUGAAAGGUCAUUAAGUGAUGAAUUUCCAGGAUUGACUGCCUCUGUUUUUACUAUAAGGUCCCGCAAACUUCCCGAAGGGUAACACUCGCAGGUAGAACAGCUCCAGCCCGCCCUGCGCCGGAGACCGGAGCUCAGGCCCUCGGGGUGUCAGUGUCUGGGUGUCGGCGGGGCGGCCUGGCAAGCACGGGAGGCGCCCCAUGGCUGAGAGGCUAGUGAGGGGAACCCCAACACACACAGUCCACCUCACCCCAGGGACCACCUUGCUCUUUACAAGCUGUGUGACCUUCGUCAUUCCACUGCCAAGGGACCCAGUUUUAGCCACACACGGUUGUCCGGGCAGGUGUAAAGAUGGGGACACACAGAAAUGGUUUUGCAGAAGAGGAGCCAGGCUUGGUGCGGAAGCCCCGGGCGGCACGGAGGCCACAGGGGCCACGGUAGCUGGGGGCACCAGGGAGGGGCGCACACAGUGCCUCAGGCUGCCACAGCCAAGUCCACGGCCGAGGCUCUGAUUUCACAACUAUCCGAACGAGCAGCGCGCUUAAAAUCUGUGGUUUAGGAGAUUUUCAUUGAACGUUCUAUUUUUAAAUGCAUCCCAGUGUUUGUACUGAAACCACCCCAGAGACACUUUGCUUCAGAGCCAUAAUCCCUGGAAAGGGAAACCCACCUGAGAAGGCGGCUCUGCUCGGCUCCCUGGGCGCAUCCCUGGGCCGGGAGCAGAGUGAGACCAGCUCUGAGGUGCGUCCAGCCACACGGGAGCCCCACCCUCUUGUGCCUUUGUGGGCCCUUCCUCCACAAAAAUCAUUAAAAAAUUAUACAACUGUGUUGAUGUAAAGAUGAAUAUAUUAAUAGCAUAUAUUAAACUAUCU